UAUUAUGGUGUGUUUUACGCUUUCUGCUAACGAAUGCUCUGACUUUAUUGCACUACUGUUCUUUACAGCUAGCAGUGCAAUAGUAUUGUCAAAGCAUCUGAAAGCAGAAUACACAGCAGUA
RNAcentral lists this microRNA precursor (121 nucleotides) under Ornithorhynchus anatinus (platypus). RNAcentral describes it as "microRNA oan-mir-301 precursor". Its record names the gene oan-mir-301. The stretch from base 25 to 108 matches the Rfam family "mir-301 microRNA precursor family". The record is from miRBase by way of RNAcentral. Lineage: Eukaryota; Metazoa; Chordata; Mammalia; Monotremata; Ornithorhynchidae.